RNA transcript from Juglans microcarpa x Juglans regia, 1699 nucleotides. It is a transcript of the gene named surfeit locus protein 2-like, with no coding region annotated. The record is from RefSeq and is a predicted model, not a curated record. NCBI's taxonomy places the organism in Eukaryota, Viridiplantae, Streptophyta, Magnoliopsida, Fagales, Juglandaceae. The transcript is spliced from 6 exons.
UUGUGGUGCGCUGCCGUUUUAUCGUGCCAACAAGGAUGUGCUCUCUCUGCCGAGCGCGCGCAUACACGUAUACUAGGGCUAUCAGUCACCGUAGUAAUGGCGACGAGUGACGAGAAGUCAUCGAACAAGGAAGGGAACAACCUGCUGGCCGCACCGACCUUCACGGAGCUCGUGAAUGGACGCUUCAAGUGCGUGGAGACUGGCCACGAAGUGCUCGCCAAAGACAAGGAAUCCUACUCUCAGUCCAAACGGUGUCGUUUGGGUCUCAUCGACUUCGCUAUCUCCCAAAAUAAACCUCCUCUCAACAUGUUCAAGCAAGAUCCUCUCUCCCGUUCAAAGUUGAUAUGUAAGCUAACAGGAGACACCAUAAAUAAGUGCGAGGAACAUAUAUGGAAGCACAUCAAUGGCAAACGAUUCCUCAACAAACUAGAGGAUAAGGAAGCAGAAAAGCUAACCUCAGAUGGAAAAUCAGAAGAGAAGAGUGGGCAGAAGCCCCAAAAAGCAUCAAAGCCAUCCACGGUUGGUAUAAUGAAGAAGAAGAAGGAUAAAGACAAAGGAGUUGAUGAGAUUAUCUUUGUAGUCAGGAAUUUGUCUGAUGAGAGCACUGAUUCAGAAGAAGCUGAUUUCUGGAUGCCUCUUGUGGGAGAACACCGUGAUUUUGAUGAUGGAGGAGAUCGAUGGUGUUGCAGUUCAGAGUCGGGGCAGGAAAGCGACAAGGUUAAUGGAAUGGCUGAAGAAGGUGGCAAGGACACAGAAGAACUCUCUAUGCGGACAAAAAGAAUGUCCAUUGAAAUUGGACCUAGCAGUUUUGCCUCAAGGAAGAAAAGGUGCAAGAAGAAUCUGACAAAUUAAUAUGCUCAUCAUAAUUUACUGCUAGCAAUUUGUUGGAAAAUGAAGCUUUGAAGUUUCUCCUAUCAGGUUUACAAGAGGCAAUGCUCGAAAAAGGAACAAUACGAUUGAACAGACACGGCAAAGGAUAUGCACUUAUGCCAGGCAAAUCUCGAACAGCAGCAGCGAAGACUCCCAGAUCAACCCCAUUCCUGCAUUGAAUCCCAUAAUCUCGUUGAAGAUCAGCCAGGUUGCUUUUGAUGCUGGCACCAACAAAUGUUAUAUCUGAAAGAUCGAGAAACUUGGAAAGGGAAGUGGGUACUUUCUCGAAGUGUGUAAGGUGUAUAAUAAGGCAAUCAUUUUCCACACCUAGCAUCAACACUACAACUCUUUCCUUGACCAUUCCGUAACUAGCUGAGCAGAAUGACUUCUCUAUAUCUAAAGCCACAACUCUCUCAUGGACAUUACCUCCCCCAUGCAGCUUUCCAUUAACAUUAGACGAGUAAUCUAAGGCUCUCUUCCAGCGCCAGCUCAUCGGUUACAACAGUCGUUUUGAACUUUCCUGUAAGGGCUCUAAAAUUAGAAGAGCUGGACAUCUUCUAAGGUGGAAUGGAAGGUUAAACUAUUCUUCAUUCAAAUAAAGAAUAAGAAUAAUGAACUACUGCAUUGGACUAGCAAGAGGUGGCUAUUUAUAUGCAACCUAGAUAUAUUGUAUGAACUCCUGCUAAAUUGCUCUGCCUCUUCGGUUGCAGCAAAGCUAGAAUUCCAAGAUGAGGUGUAGUGAUAUUGUCUUUGGGAAGCUACACCGUCUUUGACAACUACAUGGAAACUUGAAGAGGAAGACCGAGAGUCACAUCUUUUCCAGGUUUAA